Long non-coding RNA from Ornithorhynchus anatinus (platypus), 1683 nucleotides. RefSeq lists it as uncharacterized. The record is from RefSeq and is a predicted model, not a curated record. NCBI's taxonomy places the organism in Eukaryota, Metazoa, Chordata, Mammalia, Monotremata, Ornithorhynchidae. The transcript is spliced from 2 exons.
GCUUCCAGCUGGGAAGAAGGAGCUGCUGGUGAAGAAUGGAGGCCUGGCUUUUGUUGGGAUCGAACUCCUUUAGGAGAAGAUUACUUUAAGCCUCCAGGAAGCGGUGCAGAAGAGGGUGUAGAACUCAGAGUAAAAGCAGCCUAGCAGCUUGGCAAGGUUUCACCUGGAAACUGUGGAGCCCUGUGAAAAGGGACUUCUUCUAUCACGUUUGGUUUGCUUUGGAGUGAAGAUCCAAAACGAUCUGGGGAGUGAGUUGCAGCUUGCUUUUGUGGUGAAGACUAACAAGUUGGUGAAAGUCAGAGAUGCAUUUGGAAAACUUGCCUUCACUGAAGUACCAGCAAUAAUUUUCUCAUUGGAAAUUGUUGCCGGACCAGUAAAGGACCUACUUGUGUCUCCAAUCAGAGCAGAAAGGGUUCAGUGCAGGAGAGUUCUGAGACACCCCUGAAAUGAUGAUUAAGUGAGUUCUUCAGAUCAAGAGCUCGAAGAAAAGAAAGAAGUAGAGCCCGAAGACUCGAUGGUGCAGCUGCCCAGAUGGGAAAGAGGAUAAGCCAUCUCUGACUCAAACAUGGAGAUGGGCAGAAGAAUCGGAUAAAAGAGAUGAAGAACUUGUGUGAGUCUAAAUGUUCAUUGCUUCAUCAUCCAUUAAGGCACUCGUGGAGGAAGGAACAGAGCCAAAUAAAUGGAGCCUCUUCACUACAAAUGGUCUCAUCAAAGCUUCAAGGAUCUAUAUUUCUGCUAUUGGUCUGUUGCUGGGUGAAGAAUGAGGUCAGAGAAACAGCAAGUCCCGGCCUUAAGUUUACUUCUGAGUUUACCGAGACUUACUUUUCUGGAAGUCUUGCCUUCCGGUCUCAUCCAUACAGAACUCCAAAUCUUGUUCAUCAUAAGAUCUCACGCCUCCUUGCAAAACUAUCUGUAAUGGUAUUGAUGGAUUCGUCUGGCAGGAACGAGUGACAGACCUCAGUCCAGACACUUCGAGGCCCAGAAUCCUCCUGAAGAAAUGGCUUAUAGUGCUAAGGGCUUGGGCAGUUCCCCUCUCGCCUCCUCCCCCCUCCCCCCUUUUUACUCCUUUCCCCCUCUCCACUUCCUCCCAUACCUCCCCUCUCUGGAGAUAACUUAAUUUUCCAGGAUACAAUUAUAGCAGUAACAUUUCAAACUCUAUAAUAAUUCCCAUCUUUCUUGGAAAAGAUUCCAUUCGUGCCCAGAGGAUUCCUAUUGUGUGACCCAAUAAUCAGUUCCUGCCUUGACUAAUCUAAGGGAAAAUACCAUAUCAAUGCUUAGAGUCCAUAAAUGGAUGUGGGACACAGCAAAGAGGAAGUCAAUCUAUCAUAAAGAGAUGUUGUGACAACUCUCAAAAUGAGCCCAAAUGGAGAAGCAAUGUUGAUUGCCACGAGUGAGGUAAAUUGCAUCAAUUUUAAACCGAUAGUUUCUAAAAGAAAGGGGCUUUUUCUACUCUUUCGUGAGGCACGGCAAGGGUGGUAGAGGCAGGGGGAGCUCAGAGGUAAUAGUUUUAGGUUCUGAGUAAUUCUCCUUAAAAAUCCCUGAACAAACAUUACACCUGUUUGGCUGCUUAAACAUGUAAUGAGUUCCAUUGGAAUAUAAGCUCCUUGUAGGCAAGGAACAUGUACCAAACAUGUAGUAAAGUGUAUUGCAUUCCAUAUAGAUGUAAUAAAUACUGUUACUGGU